GCCCAGAAAUGGUAGUUGGUAGAGCAUGAGACUCUUAAUCUCAGGGUUGUGGGUUCGAGCCCCAGAUUGGGCA
This 73-nucleotide transfer RNA is filed under the name Podarcis lilfordi (Lilford's wall lizard). Its description in RNAcentral is "tRNA.Lys". The record is from RNAcentral. Lineage: Eukaryota; Metazoa; Chordata; Lepidosauria; Squamata; Lacertidae.